Long non-coding RNA from Neltuma alba, 154 nucleotides. RefSeq lists it as uncharacterized. The record is from RefSeq and is a predicted model, not a curated record. The transcript has 3 exons. Lineage: Eukaryota; Viridiplantae; Streptophyta; Magnoliopsida; Fabales; Fabaceae.
UAGUUUGGGAAAUCCUAAAUGAUUUUUCUUGGAAAGGAGUUGUUGGAGGAAAAGAAACUUCUUUCUGGCUUGAAGCAUGGUUGGAUAAAGAUACCUUACUUAUUAAUCAUUGUGAGACAAGCAUAGAGGAGAAGUUUUUUCCAUUCCCAUUCCC